Molecule: ribosomal RNA, 497 nt
Filed under: uncultured bacterium
Lineage: Bacteria
Description: partial 16S ribosomal RNA
Rfam family: Bacterial small subunit ribosomal RNA
Source: RNAcentral
GAUGAACGCUGGCGGCGUGCCUAAUACAUGCAAGUCGAGCGAACAGAUGAGGAGCUUGCUCCUCUGACGUUAGCGGCGGACGGGUGAGUAACACGUGGAUAACCUACCUAUAAGACUGGGAUAACUUCGGGAAACCGGAGCUAAUACCGGAUAAUAUAUUGAACCGCAUGGUUCAAUAGUGAAAGACGGUUUUGCUGUCACUUAUAGAUGGAUCCGCGCCGCAUUAGCUAGUUGGUAAGGUAACGGCUUACCAAGGCAACGAUGCGUAGCCGACCUGAGAGGGUGAUCGGCCACACUGGAACUGAGACACGGUCCAGACUCCUACGGGAGGCAGCAGUAGGGAAUCUUCCGCAAUGGGCGAAAGCCUGACGGAGCAACGCCGCGGGAGUGAUGAAGGUCUUCGGAUCGUAAAACUCUGUUAUUAGGGAAGAACAAAUGUGUAAGUAACUAUGCACGUCUUGACGGUACCUAAUCAGAAAGCCACGGCUAACUACGUG